AGCAGCCGCGGUAAUUCCAGCUCCAAUAGCGUAUAUUAAAGUUGUUGCAGUUAAAAAGCUCGUAGUUGAAUUUCGGGGUCAGUAGGUUGGUCGUGCCACUGGUAUGCACUGGCCUUACUGGUUCCUCCCUCUUGUAGAACCGUAAUGCCAUUAAUUUGGUGUUGCGGGGAAACAGGACUGUUACUUUGAAAAAAUUAGAGUGUUUAAAGCAGGCUAACGCUUGAAUACAUUAGCAUGGAAUAAUGAAAUAGGACGUUCGAUCCUAUUUUGUUGGUUUCUAGGAUUGACGUAAUGAUUAAUAGGGAUAGUUGGGGGCAUUAGUAUUCAAUUGUCAGAGGUGAAAUUCUUGGAUUUAUUGAAGACUAACUACUGCGAAAGCAUUUGCCAAGGAUGUUUUCAUUAAUCAAGAACGAAAGUUAGGGGAUCGAAGACGAUCAGAUACCGUCGUAG
Molecule: ribosomal RNA, 450 nt
Filed under: uncultured Glomeromycotina
Lineage: Eukaryota; Fungi; Glomeromycota
Description: SSU rRNA
Rfam family: Eukaryotic small subunit ribosomal RNA
Source: RNAcentral